AAGGACUUCGAAGGCCAAUAUUUUCAUAUCCGUUGUUGUGCACACAUCCUCAACUUGGUCGUGCAAGAUGGGACAUCGAUCUUAGAUAAUUUGAUAAACAGCUUGAGAGAGACGGUGAAGUACUUCAAGAGGUCACCGUCCCGUCUCCAUGCUUUUGUUGGCACUUGCAAAAGCUUGGGUGUCAAAGUUGGUAAUCAUUUACACCUGGAUUGUAAAACAAGGUGGAGUUCAACCUAUAAGAUGAUAAGCACUGCCCGUGGAUAUAAGGAAGCCUUGACCUCUCAUGCUGGUUCGAAUGCCAACUAUGCUUGGGCGCCGACAAACGCAGAGUGGGACAUGUAUGACCUUAUCUCUCCAUUACUUGAGAGUUUGGCUGAGGUGACAAAAGCAUUUUCAGGAAGUUUAUAUCCCACUUCGAACAUCUUCUACCCAUACAUUGUUGGUGUCAAGCUUGCAAUCAAACAUGCAAUGGCUAGUGAUAGUGACCACUACAAGGAAAUGGGUGAAGCAAUGUUGGAGAAGUUUGACAAAUACUGGGAAGAAAAGAAUAAUGCCAUGGUGAUCGCAACCAUCUUCGAUCCACGGUACAAGAUGGGUUACAUAGAGUGGGCCUUUGGAGAACUAUAUGGAGAAGGAAGUACGAGGUUUAGGACUGAGAUCAAAAUCGUGGAGAAAGAGUUGGCGGCCUUGUAUGACAAAUGUGUUGCUCAAGAUAAGCGAGCUGGAAAUGGAGAAAGUUCAUCUUCCUCUACAAACAUUCCUAGUAUCCCGGUUCAAGCUGGGUACGAGUCCUUCUUAUCGUCUCGUUCAACAAGAAUAUCAAAGAGUGAGUUGAGGAACUACUUAGAGGAUCAGAUUGCCGCUCGCGACAAGGCUCUUGAUCUUCUUGGUUGGUGGAAAGACAAUGCUCCUAGGUACCCAAUUAUGGCCAAGAUAGCCAGGAGGUUCCUUACUAUCCCGGCUACCUCCGUGUCUUCGGAAUCUACCUUCAGCACGACCGGAAGGAUUUUAGAUGACUAUAGGAGUUCGUUAAAACCGGUUAUGGUGGAGGCAUUAGUUUGUGGUGCAAGUUAUAUCAAGGGUGCUCACAUUGACUUGAAUCUGGUGCCGAGGGAUGAGAAUGAAGAGGAUGAUGUUGAGAACAUCAAGUUACCCAUUGUGGUGGAGGAGAUCAACGAU
RNAcentral lists this ribosomal RNA (1179 nucleotides) under Triticum aestivum (bread wheat). Its description in RNAcentral is "partial small subunit ribosomal RNA". Lineage: Eukaryota; Viridiplantae; Streptophyta; Magnoliopsida; Poales; Poaceae. The record is from RNAcentral.